UGAAGGGGGAGUGGGGAGGCGGAGGAGGCGUGGUCUUGGACUGGGGAGAGGCCGCGCUUCCUGACCCGGUCCCUCUGCACCAGCGUGGAGGGGGGAGGGGCGCGCACCCUUUCCGCCCAGGCUUUUGCGGGCUCCUCGGGCCGAACCCGAAGGGGCUGUUCCUGAACCUUGACUUGUUAUCAUAGGGACCCAAGCUCUAUUUUUGUGUGGCCAAUUCGUGCACUGCAGCAAAAUGGCCCUUCAGUCGCGUCUUGGGGUUUCUCCUCGGUUCAAAUGCUCUCGCGCUGAGAAAAAGCCGGAGGAAAAAAAAGCGACACCCUCCCUCCCCCAUUAAUUAUUUGUGGGGCCGGAGUAACGCGGGCUGGUGCAACCGGUGCAUAUAAGGACUUGUGUGCAAGGAAGGGGAUCCGCCUCCAGGCGCGGAAAGAGUAGGGAAGAAGCGCACACGCACAGUGCACCCAGCUGGGCGCUUCGGCAGUUUGCAGCUGCGGCGGGGUCGGGUCCACCCGCGGUCCCCGGAAUGCCGGACGGCUGAUCCCGGGUGCUGGUCACUCGCCGAUUCGGGGCUGGGAAGGUUUGCCAGAAGCGGGAAAGAUGGGAGAUCUGAGCGCUCUCUUGGCAUCGCCACACCCAGGACUUGCUCGUGCCGCAAUUCCCCACGGAAACAACCGAGUUGAAACGAGAAGCUUGCUCUCUGGGUGCAGUAGCUAGAAGGCUUCAGGUAACUCCAAAGCCAACACUGGGUGAGGCAACACACGCCGCCUCAGGACUCAGCAUUUCUUUCAGGCUGCGUUUUCGUGGCAGACCUACCCAGAUUGAUGGAGAAAGUUUGGCUGGCGGAUAAGAAGUAACGCGGAAGAUGUAUUAUUGUGGCUGUCACUCAGGUUUUCUGCUCAUUGGUAGACAAAGGGUGAGGAGGUGACUGAAAUUGGAACAGUGGAAGGACCCUUCACCAAAACCUGGAACUUCAGAAGAAUGGCAGGGCUGAAAAUGAUUAGUGUUAAUUCAUUCCAGUUGUGUUACCCUACCCAUAAGACUGCCUGAAGGAGCCUGAACUUCCACGUGCUGUCUUCCAUAUAAUGUGAUCUGAGGUGAAGAGCAUGGUCCCUGGAGUUGAACUGCCUGAAGUAAA
RNAcentral lists this long non-coding RNA (1132 nucleotides) under Homo sapiens (human). Its description in RNAcentral is "HSALNT0316166". The record is from RNAcentral. Lineage: Eukaryota; Metazoa; Chordata; Mammalia; Primates; Hominidae.